This is a non-coding RNA of Triticum aestivum (bread wheat), 136 nucleotides long. NCBI's taxonomy places the organism in Eukaryota, Viridiplantae, Streptophyta, Magnoliopsida, Poales, Poaceae. The record is from Rfam.
CAACUACUCCCUCCGUUCCAAAAUAGUUGACUUCCAUUUGUCCAAAAAUGGAUGUACCUAUAUACUAAAACAUGUCUAGAUACAUCUAUAUUUUGGAAAAUGGAAGGCAUGUAUUAUGGAACAGAGGGAGUAGUAC